RNAcentral lists this non-coding RNA (217 nucleotides) under Chloroflexota bacterium. RNAcentral describes it as "Chloroflexi bacterium T-box sequence". It matches the Rfam family "T-box leader". From Rfam's summary of the family: Uncharged tRNA acts as the effector for transcription antitermination of genes in the T-box leader family. T-boxes are found upstream of many aminoacyl-tRNA synthetase genes and some amino acid biosynthetic genes usually in Gram-positive bacteria. The record is from RNAcentral. Lineage: Bacteria; Bacillati; Chloroflexota.
GCAAAGGCGGCGAAGGGGAGUAGUAGGGCGCCCCUCAGAGAGCCGGCGGACGGUGCGAGCCGGCGCCUGGGGCCCGAACUCGCCCCGGAGCCGCGCCGGUGAAUCCGCCUGAGGCGGACUAGCCGGCGACGGGCGCGCCCGUUACAGCGCCACUAAGCGGUCCGCCAUCGGCGGACAAUCAGGGUGGUACCGCGGAGCCUACUCCUCCGUCCCUGGA